AUGAAGUUUUGCCUGCAAAUAAAGCGAAGAAGGAACUCAUUCUAUUACAGAUGCCUUUCUUGGGACUGCACAAAAGCAAAGUAUGGAAUAAGCAUAUGGUUCCCUUUUGUCUCCUCUGGUAAGUUUUUUACUUGUUCAGCUAUCAGGAAAAAUUAA
RNAcentral lists this ribosomal RNA (156 nucleotides) under Triticum aestivum (bread wheat). Its description in RNAcentral is "partial small subunit ribosomal RNA". Lineage: Eukaryota; Viridiplantae; Streptophyta; Magnoliopsida; Poales; Poaceae. The record is from RNAcentral.